UGCAGAAUCCCGUGAACCAUCGAGUUUUUGAACGCAAGUUGCGCCCGAAGCCUUUUGGCCGAGGGCACGUCUGCCUGGGCGUCACGC
RNAcentral lists this ribosomal RNA (87 nucleotides) under Achillea millefolium. RNAcentral's name for it is "partial 5.8S ribosomal RNA". It matches the Rfam family "5.8S ribosomal RNA", at positions 73 to 154 of the family's 154-position model. Rfam says of the family: 5.8S ribosomal RNA (5.8S rRNA) is a component of the large subunit of the eukaryotic ribosome. It is transcribed by RNA polymerase I as part of the 45S precursor that also contains 18S and 28S rRNA. RNAcentral also lists the same sequence under 1 other name. Lineage: Eukaryota; Viridiplantae; Streptophyta; Magnoliopsida; Asterales; Asteraceae. The record is from RNAcentral.